CGCGUAGGUGGUAGUGCAAGUCUGGGGUGGAAUCCCAGGGCUUAACCCUGGAACUGCCUUGGAAACUGUAUUACUUGAGUCAGUGAGGGGAGGGUAGAAUUCCUGGUGUAGCGGUGAAAUGCGUAGAUAUCAGGAGGAAGGCCUGUGGCGAAGGCGGCCCUCUGGCGCUGAACUGACACUGAGGCGCGAAAGCGUGGGGAGCAAACAGGAUUAGAUACCCUGGUAGUCCACGCCCUAAACGGUGGAUACUAGGUGUAGGGCUCGUAAGGGUUCUGUGCCGAAGCGAAAGCAUUAAGUACCCCGCCUGGGGAGUACGGCCGCAAGGUUGAA
RNAcentral lists this ribosomal RNA (330 nucleotides) under uncultured bacterium. RNAcentral describes it as "bacterial SSU rRNA". It matches the Rfam family "Bacterial small subunit ribosomal RNA", at positions 568 to 898 of the family's 1533-position model. The record is from RNAcentral.